Molecule: long non-coding RNA, 824 nt
Organism: Bufo gargarizans (Asiatic toad)
Lineage: Eukaryota; Metazoa; Chordata; Amphibia; Anura; Bufonidae
Exons: 2
Source: RefSeq, a predicted model, not a curated record
CUGUUUUUGUGGCAGUGGAAACGGCUGACAGCGCACAGUGAGACCUCUCUGCUGCCAUGGGAACCCAUCUGCUCUGGGAAUAUUUGUAUUUUAUCGCUGGAUAUGCCAUAACAGGCCUAAUAAUAAAUUGUCUGAAAUACAGAAGACUGCAAAACGAAAGACCCAGGCAUCCUCCCGCCAGAGUCAGAAAGUGGGUAGUAUCACAAGCCAUUGAGGAAGUAGUAAGAGCAGUAGAGUUAGUAGUAGCAGCAGUAGUAGCACAAGUAGUAUACCACACAGUAGUAGCAGUAGUAGGCCGCUGUUAUUCAACAUUAUCGUUGAGGAUGUGAAAGAAAUGAAGUGGUUAAUGAACAUGAAUUGUGCUAAUUUCUGCUCACAUCUGCUUAUGAGUCACAAAGAGCGCGAUUUUUAUAGACCGCAAGGAAAGAGGGACUGAUGAAGUCAGAAAUAUUUUAGUGACCAUUGUGUUAAACAGCAUCCAUUUUGUAUCUCUAUGUUUCUUUGCGGCGAGUGACUAAACGUAGCUUGCAUCUCUUCUAGUUAUUUGCUUUGUGAUUAUUACUUUGAUUUCGCUGUAUUUUCAAGAAACUGCUGAGCUAGGCAAAUUAGCAUCACAUUUUGAAAAGGGAUAUUUACAAGAACAGUGACCUCAGACGUGGAUAUAAUUAUGACAUAAUUAUAAAUGUAACAUAUAUAUUUUUGAUCACUUUGAUCUGCAUCCAUGAUUGGUCAUUGUAAUCUUUAGUAUGUAAGGGGGUGUGCCCCCAGACUUUGAAAUAAAAAGGACCUCCUGGGACACACCCAGACAGAGGCUCCAAUGUAUA